GAUGAACGCUAGCUACAGGCUUAACACAUGCAAGUCGCGGGGCAGCAUGGGGGUUGCUUGCAAUCCCCGAUGGCGACCGGCGCACGGGUGAGUAACGCGUAUCCAACCUGCCCUUCACCACGGGAUAACCCGGCGAAAGUCGGACUAAUACCGUAUGUUGUCCAUUGACGGCAUCCGAUUUGGACGAAAGGUUUGGCGGUGAAGGAUGGGGAUGCGUCCGAUUAGCUGGACGGCGGGGUGACGGCCCACCGUGGCGACGAUCGGUAGGGGUUCUGAGAGGAAGGUCCCCCACACUGGAACUGAGACACGGUCCAGACUCCUACGGGAGGCAGCAGUGAGGAAGAGUGGUCAAUGGGCGUAAGCCUGAACCAGCCAAGUAGCGUGCAGGAGGACGGCCCUAUGGGUUGUAAACUGCUUUUAUGCGGGGAUAAAGUGGCCCACGUGUGGGUUUUUGCAGGUACCGCAUGAAUAAGGACCGGCUAAUUCCGUG
This 490-nucleotide ribosomal RNA is filed under the name uncultured bacterium. Its description in RNAcentral is "partial 16S ribosomal RNA". It matches the Rfam family "Bacterial small subunit ribosomal RNA", at positions 28 to 507 of the family's 1533-position model. The record is from RNAcentral.